RNAcentral lists this unclassified non-coding RNA (19 nucleotides) under Mus musculus (house mouse). RNAcentral's name for it is "oocyte_clustered_small_RNA1405". The record is from RNAcentral. Lineage: Eukaryota; Metazoa; Chordata; Mammalia; Rodentia; Muridae.
ACAGAUGGCACGGUCAGGA